RNAcentral lists this ribosomal RNA (393 nucleotides) under uncultured microorganism. RNAcentral describes it as "bacterial SSU rRNA". It matches the Rfam family "Bacterial small subunit ribosomal RNA", at positions 9 to 392 of the family's 1533-position model. The record is from RNAcentral.
GAGUUUGAUCGUGGCUCAGGACGAACGCUGGCGGCGUGCCUAAUACAUGCAAGUCGAGCGGAUCUUCAUUAGCUUGCUUUUGAAGAUCAGCGGCGGACGGGUGAGUAACACGUGGGCAACCUGCCUGUAAGACUGGGAUAACUUCGGGAAACCGGAGCUAAUACCGGAUAAUCCUUUUCCUCUCAUGAGGAAAAGCUGAAAGACGGUUUCGGCUGUCACUUACAGAUGGGCCCGCGGCGCAUUAGCUAGUUGGUGGGGUAACGGCUCACCAAGGCGACGAUGCGUAGCCGACCUGAGAGGGUGAUCGGCCACACUGGGACUGAGACACGGCCCAGACUCCUACGGGAGGCAGCAGUAGGGAAUCUUCCGCAAUGGACGAAAGUCUGACGGAGC